CCGCCAGAGAACUACAAGUGAAAAACUUGAAACUCAAAGGACUUGACGGUGUCCCAUAUCAACCUAGAGGAGCCUGUCCUAUAAUCGAUACUCCACGUUUAACCCAACCCCAACUAGCACAACAUCAGCCUAUAUACCGCCGUCGACAGCCUACCCUAUGAAGGUCUAAUAGUAGACUCAAUAGCCCUACCGCUAGCACGUCAGGUCAAGGUGUAGCAAAUGUUGAGGAAGAGAUUGGCUACAUUUUUUACAAUAAAAAAUACGAAAUGUAUUAUGAAAUCAUACAUGAAGGUGAAUUUAGCAGUAAACU
This 310-nucleotide ribosomal RNA is filed under the name Lacerta bilineata. RNAcentral's name for it is "partial 12S ribosomal RNA". It matches the Rfam family "Bacterial small subunit ribosomal RNA", at positions 869 to 1344 of the family's 1533-position model. Lineage: Eukaryota; Metazoa; Chordata; Lepidosauria; Squamata; Lacertidae. The record is from RNAcentral.